GUGUGCGCCGGGUACGUCAUGUACUCAUCGUCCACCGUCAUGAUGCUCACCGUCGGCGACGGCGUCUACGGCUUCACCUUGGACACCUCCACCGGCGAAUACGUCCUCUCGCACGACGACGUCAAGAUCCCGGACCCCGGCCAGCGGAUCUACUCGGGAAACAACGGCAACGUCGACAAGUGGGCGCCCGAGAUGAAAGCGUACGUGAGGUACCUGCAGCUCGGCGGCGCGGACAGGGCCAAGGGCCCGUAUUCCUACCGAUACAUCGGCGCGCUCGUGGGCGAUUUCCACCGAACGCUCCUGUACGGAGGCAUCUGGCUGUACCCGCCGGAUAAAUCCGCGCCCCAGGGCAAGGCCCGGCUGCUGUACGAGGUGGCGCCGAUGGGUUUCCUCGCGGAGCAGGCGGGCGGGAUGGCCAUGUGGGGCGAGUGCGCGGAGAAGCGCGUCAUGGAGGUUGUCCCCGAGCAGAUCCACCAGCGGUCGCCCAUGUUUGUCGGAUCGUCGAAGAUGGUGAGGGAGCUCCAGGAGUUCUUGGAGGACCGCGCGCCGGUGUACAGGAACGGACCGCGGGACGAGCUCUGAUUCGACGAUGCGUUGCCAAGUGGUGAACGACGACGCGUGUACAUUGACGGCGAGUGCCGCCGCGUCGACGAUGAAGACCUCGUCGGCGGGGCGGACGCGCCCAACUUUUAGCCUAAAUUUCCAAGAGUUUUUAUGAGAUUUUUGACACUGCUCUGACUGUGCUGUUGGGGGAACUUUGCUGUUUGAGUGGACGUUCCGUGAACCCGCGCGUAGAACGCGUCGCGACGUCGCGGUUGCAACAUCGACGGCUGGCGUCCACGGAGAGUGCCGCAGUCGAGUCGAGUCCGCGCGCUUUUGACCAUGCCGACCGUCGGAUCGACCAUCGUGCGCAGGCAGCGGACCGCCGCGCCUGCCGCCAAAAAGCUCGGCAUCACCAAGCUCUCCGACACCGCCGCUUCGCGAGGUCCGGCCAGUGCGCGACGCCGCCCCUUCCGACCCACUCGAUCCGAUUUCAAACGCGCCAAACGUAUCAAGAGACUAACGCGCGCACAUUCAUCGCAGGAACACGCGCGGAGGACGCCGACGGCGAUCCUAUCACCCCAUCCCCGACGGUACGCGCGCGACUCGCUUCGAUACGCCCGAUGAGGCACCCGACCGUUGGCGCCCGACACGCCCGCCGCGGAAGGCGCCGACGCCGACGAGGGCCCGACGCUGACCCCGAAUUCCGCCCUUGCUUCCAUCGCAGGCUGUGCGUAGAGCGCCCGAGCCGUCACGAUCGCCGGCGGAGGCCGAGCCGGUCAAUCAGCGCGCGGGUGCGGACACCCCCCCCCGCCCGCGCCCACGCCCGGCACCGAGAAACGAACAAUAACAAUCCCACCCCGCUCCCUCCCUCUCGCGCUCACCGUCCCCGUCUCAUCGCUCGCAGGGUACAACUCGCGCGGCCACGCGGUGUAUCGCGCGAAGCAUUUAAGCCCGCCCAAGCGAUCCAGCCUGCAGGUGCGCUCUCCAACCUCCCCUCCACGGACCCGCCCCGUCCCGCCCCAGACUUUCGCUCACGAAGGAUCCCAACCAACCCCCCGCGCGCAGGACUGGGACGAGUGGGGCGCGUUCGAGAACGAGGUCGCAUCCGCGGUGACCUCCGUCGCGUCCACCGUGACCAACAUGGUGGGCGGAGGCGGCAAUCGCGGCGGGCAACCGCGUCGCUCACCCGCGGGUCGCGCGCCAGCCAGGGACCCCCAGGUGAGCCGAGGCGCGACGGAUUCGACACCUCGAAACGCACCCGCCCGGAUCGUUUUUUUCACCCUCCCUCCAGCCGUGGCUGACCGGACCUCACCCGACCUCUCCCGACCCGUCACGCGCAGGGCGCAGCCUCCGUGCAGGACUUCAUGACCGCGACGGGCGCGGCGGACGUCGUCAACGUCGUCGGCCGCGCCGCCGCCUUCCUCGGCACCGCCAUUGACAGCGCCAUCGAGAACACCGCCGCCGUCGUCGAACACGCCGCCAAGCGAGCCGACCAGAUGGCGUUCGCCAACUCUCCCAAGAACGGACCUACCCGCGAUUCGCCCCGGUGGAGGCGGCACGGAUCGAGCCCGGGUAAGGGCGCGCGGCUGUCUAACCUGUCUCCCAAGGCGAUGAACAAGGGCGGAUCGCGAUUCGGCGGCGGUAAGGGUCACGGCUCGCCGGGGGGCGGCGCGAGGAGGAGCCCCGCGGGCAAGGGUCCAUACAGGAGCCCCGGCGGGGCCGGCAUCAGGGUGUUCCGCUCGCCCAGCCUGGCGUCCUCGGGGAAGAAGAGCAGGUCGCGGAUGUCCGGGGAGUACGGCCGCGUCGACGCGAUCCCGAUGAAGACGGGGGACGACGCGCCCGGCGACGAUGACUGGGGCUGGAACGCCAAGUCACCGACGGGGGAGGAAAAGACCCGCAACGUCGCCGCCGCCACCGCGCACCUUCGGCGUGAGCUCGCGGAGGUUCACACCGAGCGCGAUGAGCUCAAGUCCGCCGUCGGGGCGCUGAACAGGCGGCUCAAGACACUCGCGGAGGAGCACGAGAUGCUCAAGAAGCAGAACCUCGGCUUGCAGAAGCGCAUGGCGGCGAGCCAGUACGAGAGUCAGGGCGGGGGAUCCGACCCGCUCGCCGAACAGGUGCGGCACCAGCUGGAGCACCUGGUGAUCGAAAAGGGUAAGCUGGCGCAGGAGAACGCCAGCCUGAGGCGGGAGUGCGAGUCCCUUCAGGAGCUGCUGAUGUACUCCAACAUGGCGUCGCAGGUUGAGUCGAUGUACUCCUCGGGCGGGAUCUUUGGGCACGCGUACGACGAGGAAGGAACCGACGACGACGACAUCGACGUCGAUAGGGUCGACGUCGAUAGGGUCGAUGGGGUCGCGGGGGAAGACGACGAGGCUUUCGAGACUGUCGCGCCACGAGCCGAGGAGGCUGACGACGCGCAGCCGCCGCCGCCGCGGGAGGAGGACGCCGAGGUCGCCGUCGCCGAGCCGCCGGCGGCGGAGUCGGAGCCCGUCGCGGAGGACGUCGCCGCCGACGCCGCCGACGCCGCCGCGGAGCCCGAGCCCGAGCCCGAGCCCGAGCCCGAGCCCGUCGUCGCGACCGCGACCGAGGAGGAACCCGAGGCUCCUGCGGAGGGCAAAAAGAAGCGAGGGGGCAAGAAGGGGAAGAAGGGUAAGCGGUGACGCGUUUUUCGACGACCGCGGUGCUAUCUAUCGACUAUCCUCCACUUCCCCGCUCCCCUUCCGGGAACCACUCCUCCCCCCCUCGACCGCGCCGCCUCGACCCCUCCGCCUCGCGCCCUCCCGCCUCGCGCCCUCCGCACCGCGGUGAUGAACGAGCGCUGGGGGCUCGUGACAUCCUCGUCCACGCACAGGUUACAACACACGGCACCCUCCCCGUCCCCGUCCCCGUCCCCGUCCCCGUCCCCGUCCCCGUCCCCGUCCCCCGCCGCUGCCAACCCGUAGAGCAUCACGCACCACAGCGCGUAGGAAUCUAUCCGCAUCUUCCUCGCCUGGUCCUUCACGUGAAAACCAAACGCAUCCGCUCGGCGCCGGCGGGGCAGACAACACGGACACAGCACGAGCGCGUGCGCCCCCGUUGCGCGCCACAGCUCCACGGCGCGUCUGGCGAGGUCGCCGCACAGGUGAACGCCGACGACCAGGCACUUACCCCCGUCGCGUUCCGCUUUGGCGACGGCGUCGACGACGGUACGCUUCGCCUCGUCGGUAAAGACAUCCUCGAGGUGGAACGUGACGUUUCGCAUGCUCGGAUGCGCAAGGUGCGGGAGCUUCAUCCUCGCGUCGGCGUCGCACAUGUGAAUCGUCGCGUCCGGGAACUCGUGCGCCAGGAGCAUCGACAGGCACCCCCGGCCGCUGCACAGCUCCACGAACACCAGCCCCGCGCCCGUGCGGUGCGCGUCGGCGUCGUCGGCGGCGGCGGACGAGGGGAAGAGGCGCCGGACGCAGCGUCUGAGCUGCUCCAGCGCCGCCCACGAUUCGAUGAGCUCCUUCUUGCAGCGCGAGUAGCGCCGCCAGUAGUCGAACCGAACGUCCUCGAGCAGGGCGCGGCGCAGCGGGGUCGCGGCGAAGGCGCGAAGAUGCGGAUUUGUUAUCUCGCCCUCGAGCGCGAAGUCGAGCGCAGCCUUCUUGCGGUUUAGGGCUGCACAGGGCGCGCGCGAAGCGUCGUGACCCUCCUCCGUGUCUUGACCCUCCUCCAUGCCGUGACCCUCCUCCUGCCGUGACCUUCCUCCGCGCCCCAGCCGCUGUGGGUCUGGCUUUCGUCGCCGGACUCUUCCGAGACUUACGAAGGCACGAAGCUCUGCAGAUCCGGAGCGAAAGUUGCGGGAAAAAACGGGGUGACGUCAUUGUUCGUCGCACGCGACCAUGCAGAUGAGCGCAUUCGCCGCUCGCGCCAACGCCGUUCUUCCCCCCGCGCUCGCCGCCCGAUUCGGCUUCCAUAAAGGCCGCGCCACAAAGCCCCGCAACAUGUCCUCCAAGGCUGUUCCCGAGGGUCUCAGCGACGGCUGUAAGGGCGCUGAGGUGCCGGAUGGCGUCAAGCUCCCGAUCAUGGCCGACGAGUCCGUCAUGUGCCCCAAGGCGCACGGAACCACCGAGACCCCGGUGCAGCAGAACCUCCGAUGGAACUGCGAGUGGAAGACCGCGGACAAGAUCUGCUCCUUCAACCGACACUACGCCGAAUACGCCGGGUAUUGGGAGUCCACCAGCUUCCUCGACGAGGUCGACAGGGAGGGUGAGACCACCUAUUACGACUCGGUCAGCGGUAAGCCCCUCUUCAUCGCGCCCCGCGGGCGGAGCUUCGAUGACUUCGUGAAAGAGUCCAAGUCGCACGGCUGGCCGAGCUUCAGGGACGAGGAGGUCGUCUGGGAGAACGUGCGAUGCCUCAAGGACGGCGAGGCCAUCUCGCUGGCGGGCACCCACCUGGGGCACAACCUUCCCGACAAGAAGGGGAACCGGUACUGCAUCAACCUCGUGUCCGUCGCGGGCCGACCGAUGUGACGAGAUGGACGAGAGAAGAGAGAGGCGUGUUUGUCUGGAGCUGCCGCGUGUAAUGCAAGACGAGGUCUGAGAGAGCAGUCGUCAGCCCCGCCAUCGCGGGCGGGAAAUUUUUUGUCCAGCCAAGUGGAUCCAGUCGCUUCCCUGAACGCUGAACUCGAGCCGGGUGAUCCACUCGUUUGCCCCGUCAGCAGAGGAGCCAAUUCUUCAGGGUUGCCGCAUUCGCGCGCGCGCCCACGGGCCCGUGCCAUCGAGUCUUCGACCGCGCGUGGCCGCAUCCGCGAUGAUUGUCGCCACUACCACUCAGGCUGUCGCCCUCGGCGGCGCCCGCGCCGUCCUUCGGGGGCGUCGUCUCCCAUCCAACCGCGGGAGCAGUAAAGUAAUCCAAAAAGCCCCCGCCGUAAAGCCCCGCCGUAACGCGGUCGUGACCAGCGCUUCGGCCAUCGGGACCAACCUGACGACCUGGCUCCUCAGGCAGGAGAUGGAGCGCAAGAUCGACGGGGAGCUCGCGGUGGUCCUAUCCUCCGUCUCCAUCGCUUGCAAGAGGGUGCGAUCUCGAUAUCCCACCGCCGCCCGCGCGCCCGCGCGACCAAUUCGCCCAACCCCCGAGAAGAAUCCCUCCGCGGAUGACGAUCAUCGUCAAUCCCUAACGAACCGCUCGGUUCCGGAACCGACCCCUGACGCCGCGAUUCACACCCUUCUCUUCCCACAGAUCGCCAGCCUGGUUCAAAAGGCGGGCAUCUCCGGCAUGACCGGCGCGGCCGGCGCCGUGAACGUCCAGGGCGAGGACCAGAAGAAGCUCGACGUCGUCAGCAACGAGAUCUUCUGCGAGGUUCUGCGAACCUCCGGGAGGACCGGCGUGAUCGCGUCCGAGGAGGAGGACACGCCGGUGGCGGUCGAGGAGACGUACAACGGCAACUACGUCGUCGUCUUCGACCCACUCGACGGCUCCUCCAACAUCGACGCCGCGGUGUCCACCGGUUCCAUCUUCGGCGUGUACUCGUCCGAUCAAUCAUGCGUCCCCGACUGGGGCGCCGACGACGAGGGCGUGGUGCAGGAGAAGUGCAUCACGAACGUGUGCCAGCCGGGUAACAACCUCCUCGCGGCCGGGUACUGCAUGUACUCAUCGUCCUGCAUCCUCAUGCUCACCGUCGGCCACGGCGUCUACGGCUUCACCCUGGACCCGUCCAUCGGCGAGUUCGUCUUGUCCCACGAGGACGUCAAGAUCCCGGAGAAGGGGAAGAUCUACUCCUUCAACGAGGGCAACUACGUCAACUGGGAGCCCGGACUCAAGGAGUACAUGGACGCGCUGAAAA
Molecule: long non-coding RNA, 6349 nt
Filed under: Micromonas commoda
Lineage: Eukaryota; Viridiplantae; Chlorophyta; Mamiellophyceae; Mamiellales; Mamiellaceae
Description: long non-coding RNA (MCOM_LNC000434)
Source: RNAcentral